GUGGGGAAUUUUGGACAAUGGGGGCAACCCUGAUCCAGCAAUGCCGCGUGCAGGAAGAAGGCCUUCGGGUUGUAAACUGCUUUUGUACGGAACGAAAAGGCUCUGGUUAAUACCUGGGGCACAUGACGGUACCGUAAGAAUAAGCACCGGCUAACUACGUGCCAGCAGCCGCGGUAAUACGUAGGGUGCAAGCGUUAAUCGGAAUUACUGGGCGUAAAGCGUGCGCAGGCGGUGCUGUAAGACAGGCGUGAAAUCCCCGGGCUUAACCUGGGAAUGGCGCUUGUGACUGCAGUGCUGGAGUGUGGCAGAGGGGGAUGGAAUUCCGCGUGUAGUAGUGAAAUGCGUAGAUAUGCGGAGGAACACCGAUGGCGAAGGCAAUCCCCUGGGCCUGCACUGACGCUCAUGCACGAAAGCGUGGGGAGCAAACAGGAUUAGAUACCCGUGUAGUCC
Molecule: ribosomal RNA, 450 nt
Filed under: uncultured bacterium
Lineage: Bacteria
Description: partial 16S ribosomal RNA
Rfam family: Bacterial small subunit ribosomal RNA
Source: RNAcentral